ACGUACACUCCUACGGGAGGCAGCAGUGGGGAAUAUUGCACAAUGGGCGCAAGCCUGAUGCAGCCAUGCCGCGUGUAUGAAGAAGGCCUUCGGGUUGUAAAGUACUUUCAGCGGGGAGGAAGGCGAUAAGGUUAAUAACCUUGUUGAUUGACGUUACCCGCAGAAGAAGCACCGGCUAACUCCGUGCCAGCAGCCGCGGUAAUACGGAGGGUGCAAGCGUUAAUCGGAAUUACUGGGCGUAAAGCGCACGUAGGCGGUCUGUCAAGUCGGACGUGAAAUCCCCGGGCUCAACCUGGGAACUGCAUUCGAAACUGGCAGGCUAGAGUCUUGUAGAGGGGGGUAGAAUUCCAGGUGUAGCGGUGAAAUGCGUAGAGAUCUGGAGGAAUACCGGUGGCGAAGGCGGCCCCCUGGACAAAGACUGACGCUCAGGUGCGAAAGCGUGGGGAGCAAACAGGAUUAGAAACCCCUGUAGUCCCAUGAU
RNAcentral lists this ribosomal RNA (481 nucleotides) under uncultured organism. RNAcentral's name for it is "partial 16S ribosomal RNA". It matches the Rfam family "Bacterial small subunit ribosomal RNA", at positions 329 to 801 of the family's 1533-position model. The record is from RNAcentral.